RNAcentral lists this ribosomal RNA (253 nucleotides) under uncultured bacterium. RNAcentral describes it as "partial 16S ribosomal RNA". It matches the Rfam family "Bacterial small subunit ribosomal RNA", at positions 524 to 776 of the family's 1533-position model. The record is from RNAcentral.
UACGAAGGGGGCUAGCGUUGUUCGGAAUUACUGGGCGUAAAGCGCACGUAGGCGGGUUAUUAAGUCAGGGGUGAAAUCCUGGAGCUCAACUCCAGAACUGCCUUUGAUACUGAAGAUCUUGAGUUCGGGAGAGGUGAGUGGAACUGCGAGUGUAGAGGUGAAAUUCGUAGAUAUUCGCAAGAACACCAGUGGCGAAGGCGGCUCACUGGCCCGAUACUGACGCUGAGGCACGAAAGCGUGGGGAGCAAACAGG